Molecule: microRNA, 17 nt
Filed under: Xenopus laevis (African clawed frog)
Lineage: Eukaryota; Metazoa; Chordata; Amphibia; Anura; Pipidae
Description: xla-miR-5188
Source: RNAcentral
GUGGAAAACAGACUGUG